AGCGAACGCUGGCGGCAGGCCUAAAACAUGCAAGUCGAACGGAUCCUUCGGGAUUAGUGGCGGACGGGUGAGUAACACGUGGGAACGUGCCUUUUGGUUCGGAACAACUCAGGGAAACUUGAGCUAAUACCGAAUGUGCCCUUCGGGGAAAGAUUUAUCGCCAUUAGAGCGGCCCGCGUCUGAUUAGCUUGUUGGUGAGGUAAAGGCUCACCAAGGCGACGAUCAGUAGCUGGUCUGAGAGGAUGAUCAGCCACACUGGGACUGAGACACGGCCCAGACUCCUACGGGAGGCAGCAGUUAGGAAUCUUGCGCAAUGGGGGAAACCCUGACGCAGCCAUGCCGCGUGAAUGAUGAAGGUCUUAGGAUUGUAAAAUUCUUUCAGCGGGGACGAUAAUGACGGUACCCGCAGAAGAAGCCCCCGGCUAACUUCGUGCCAGCAGCCGCGGU
RNAcentral lists this ribosomal RNA (447 nucleotides) under uncultured bacterium. Its description in RNAcentral is "bacterial SSU rRNA". It matches the Rfam family "Bacterial small subunit ribosomal RNA", at positions 29 to 521 of the family's 1533-position model. The record is from RNAcentral.